GCCUCCUGAAGAGAACUCACUUUCUUGUACCAUCUGAUAUUUGCCCUUUCCAAUUCCCUAUUUCCCUGCUAUAUUUUUCCCGACACUUCUGCUAUUUUCUCAUGAUGUUUUCAUGAGAAAACUUUUUUUUUUUUUUUUUGACAACAUUAAAGUUCUUUUUCACGUCAAGGAUCAACAGAGUUCCCAGGUAUCACUCCUGCUAAAAAUAGGGACAAACUGAUGCUAUGGAAGUGUUGUUAUUUUUUGUAGUCAGCGUGGAUCCAAUUGGGAAGAUUUCUUCAGCUUUGAAGUUCCAGAGUGACUCAUGAGUUUAAAGCCAUUCCCCCUUGUCCUGUCACUAUCAGAAUAUGAAAAAAGUUGUUUUCCCUCCUGCCUGUGAGCUCCCUUCAAGUAUUAGAAGGCCACAGUGAGUGUUAAGAUAACAGACAACUCAAAGGACAGGAGGAAUAAACCUGAACAGACAGGACAAGAUGUACAGACUUUUCUGUUAGAAAACCUAGAAGUAUCAGAAGGCAUUGCUUAAGCAGAGCAGAUUUGCAUUAGUUCAUUUGUGGAUCAGGAAGCGCCACUGAAAAGUUUUCUCCAUUAAAAUAAAGUGCUGAAAGACUAAUCUGAAGACUAGAUGACAAGUACUCAAGAAUGAAAGUAAUACAGUGAAAGUAGGAAGCAAACUACAUAGAGAAAUUAAUUGGAAUAAAAUGCAGCACUUCUUUUCUUACAUCACUGCCUCUGUGGGGCUGCUGACACCACUAGACUGGAAGGAUUCUGCUCAGUCACUGAAGCCAACUAAUGGGAUUCUGCCUGCUGAAAUGAAGCAGAACAUCACUACCAACAGACAGACCGAAGAAGAUGAAAGCUUGCAAAGAAAACUUAUUGCCUCUGGAGGAAAUGCAGCAGCUCAAUUGCAGUAAUCUUCCUUGGUUUUGAAGCACACCCAGGCUGUGCUAUAUCUUCACAUCUUCAGGAUGGAAGCUGCUGCCCAUGGUACUGUGCAGAGGAAUCACAGGAGACUACAGUGCUCCACCUCUGCAGGAAGCAGGCAGCAGUUUCCAAAAGCCAUAAUGUCCUACAACACAGAAAGGUGAGAAGCACACGGUCCCAGCCCCCUCCUUCCCCAACCCCCUCCCCUCCUACCACACACACAGCUGGAGAACAUGCGGUGAAUGGGCUCACAUCUAGCAGAAAACUCCAUGUUUGUGAUUACACCAGUGCUUUGAGCCGGCAGCAGUGAAGAGUGCUGAAGAGCAAGAGUGCCAUAAUUAAGGAUGAGAGCAGAAACCCACAGCUUAAGGUUGGGCUUGACUCACAGAGGUAAUGGAAAGGGGUUUUACUUUUAUUAUAAUAGAAAAGGCAGGUCGUGCUUGACUAACCUCAUCUCCUUCAACAACUGGGUGGCCAGACUGGUAGAUGAGGAAAAGCUGUUGAUGUAGUCUAUCUAGACUCCAGCAAAGCCUUUGACAUGGUCUCUCACAGUAUUCUCCUGGGGAAACUGGUUGCCCAUGGCCUGGACAGUAUACCCUUCUUUGGGUAAGGAACUGGCUAGAAGACCAUGCCAAAUGGGUAGUAGAUAAUAGAGUUGAGAACAACUGGAGACCCAUUACAAGUGGCGUCUCCCAGGGGUCAGUACUGGGGCCCAUCUUGUUUAAUAUCUUUACUGAUGACCUAGAUGAGGGGAUUGAGUGUACCCUGAGUAAGUUUGCAGAUGACACCAAGCUGGGAGGUAGCAUUGAUCAGCCUGAGGGUUGGGAGGCCCUGCAGAGGAAUCUAGAUAAGAUGGAUUGCUGGGCUCAGGUGAAUGAGAUGAAGUUCAACAAGGCCAAGUGCCAGGUUCUGCACUUUAGCCACAAUAACCCCAUGCAGCACUAUAGGCUUGGGGCAGAGCGGCUGUAUAACUGUGAAGAGGAAAGGGACCUGGGGGUUUUGGUUGAUGCUCAGCUGAACAUAAGCUGAGAGCAUGCCCAGGUGGCCAAAACAGCCAAUACCAUCCCCGCCUGCAUUAGAAAUAGUUGGCCAGAAGGAGCAGGGAAGAAAUCAUCCCCCUGUACUCAGCACUGAUGAGGCCACACCUCGAGUACUGUGUUCAGUUUUGUGCCUCUCACUACAAGAAAAACAUUGAGGCCCUGGAAUGUGUCCAGGGAAGGGCAACAAAACUAGUGAGAUGUCUGGAGCACAAGUCUUAUGAGGAGCAGAUGAGGAAGCUGGGAUUGUUUAGUCUGGAGAAGAAGAGGCUCAGGGGAGAUCUCACUGUGCUCGACUACUUCCUGAAGGGAGGUUGUGAUGAGGAUGACUUCCUGAAGGGAGGUUGUGAUGAGGAUGGGUUUGGCCUCUUCUCCCAGGCAACAAACAGGACCUGAGGAAAUGGCCUCAAGUUGUGCCAGAGAAGGUUUAGAUUAGACAUAAGGAAAAACUUUUUCCUCUCAGGGAGUGAUCAGGCACUGAUCAUGGCCUUCCCAGGGAGAUGGUGGAGUCGCUGUCCCUGGCAGUGUUCAAGAGGCAUCUGGAUGAAGAGCUAUGAGAUAUGGCUUAGUAGCUUGUGGUAUCAGUGGUGCAAGGAUGGUUGGACUAGAUGAUCUUGUAGGUCCUUUCUAAUCUUGUGAUUCUACGAUUAUAUGGAAAAAAAGCAAGUUUGUUUAAGGGAGAAAGAGUCAGAGGAAUGAAACAAGAAAAUCUGUUGACAUUCAAGCCAGUGUUCACAGUAGUGUAGAACACCAAGUACUCAUGUUAUGCCCAUUUCCUAUACAUUUUUUAUUACUUUUUGGUAGUUAAUAUAUGCACACAAUAAACAUCAGUGUUAAAAAUAGCUUAUGCCAAGAAAGGCAACAUGCUCAGAUUUACAGUGUUUUUGAAGUAUUGUUUUUAUAUUUAAUCACAUUGUACAUUAUUAAUAUUUUAUUCAUGUAUUCUCUUUGAUUCUUAUAUAUGUGCAUGUACAUACAUAUUCAUAUCCACACUACCCAAGUAUUCAUGUAUAUAAAUACAUACAACCAAAUGCAAGGGUGUGAAAGUGGAAAUAAACAAGACAGUACAACAAAGUUCUCACACUGCUACUUCCAUGACAGAUAAAGAAAUGCACAGAAUGAAUAAUCAAUAAAGUAAGUAGGAUGAGCUGAGUCCCACUACCUUCUGGACAAUGAGAAAGGAAUCCAUUAUACCCAGACAGGCCCUACUUAGUUCAGUUUUUUGGGCUCUUGAAACCUUCUUGUUACACCACUCAGGAAUUACUAAUGUAUUGUCUUAGCAAUUUACAUUUCUCUAUUAUAGUUCAUGUUACCUUCCUUUUUGACAAAUGCUACAUAAAAUAUUACUUUGCAAGAAGAGGGAGCAAUUAUUUUUAAUAAUGUUUUGGGAAAGUAGAAAGUACUAGAUUUCACUUGAAUACUUUUAGUUGCACAUUAGUGAAAUGAUACUCUUGCUUUAGGAAGAGUAUCAUUUCCUUCCAUUAGAGACUUGUAGACUGCCGGUUCCAGCAAAGCCCUGAAAAACCUCCACUGAAGUUGUAACAUUAGUAAUGGUAGCAAAAGAACAGCAUCUUAUUUGAUGAGUGAAAUUCUCCUUUUUUGGAGUACUGCAACAUUUGGGGUAUACGUGAUGGACAGUUCUGAUCCUUUGUGUGCAAUAAUACUAUAUGAUAUGCAUUUGUGAGGUUCUUGUCAGUAUAUCUGAUAAUUUUUUUGCAAUAUUCAUAUUUAUGAGUGAUAGUAUUUAUCACAGUGCUUUAUUUCCAACAAAAUGCUACUCAUUCAGACUACCACUUCUGAAAAAAAAAAAAUCAGAGGGAAUAUCACAGAUCAUUAAAAGGUUUGGAAUAAGACUCUCUAAAGAGAGCGUGUCUAUAAUGCAUUGGCCUAUUGUGUAGCUAGGUUUAUUUAUGUGGAUCUUUAUCUGCCUCAAAUAGAUCUAGACUGCUUCAGCCUUCAUCUAUAAGAAAAGUGCCACCCCUCAAGGAGAUAAAGUAGGGCAUCAAACCACAGCAAGCACUGCAGUGAGCUCUUGGUGAGCAGACAGGCACGGAAAGACUGAAGGCCUCCCAGACAAUUUCUAGCUAUAUCCAUUUCACCUGUAAGUCAAAAACAAAGUGUUUACUCUGAUUUAACAUAUCCACAAAAGAGCACUUGGGAAUUAUAUGUAUAUGUAUGUGUAUAUAUAUAUACAUAUAUACUCAUACACACACACACACCCCAAAACACAACCAUAAUUAGCCAUUCAUAAAUAGAGCACCCACAACAGCACUCUAUCUCAUAACAACAUCAAACAGAAAUCUUCUGAAAUGCUGAUGUAUUUAACCAACACAGUUUUCAUCUUAAUUGCAGCAUUAGCACAUACGGUGGCCUUCUGAACCACCUGCAAGCAGAAAAAUCAUGUGACAAAUACAUUCAUAGGAAAUCUUACCAAGAUUUUCAGUCUCAUUUUGCUGUAUCAGUAUAGUUGCAUGCAUAGGUGAACUUGUGUAACCUUUUUUCAAAACAGCUCCUAAAUUCUAAACCUUUUAAGUUUCAUGCAUCCUCUCCUAAUAUGCACAAUUUUGCUUUAUGCGUGAGAAAUGUGAUCUUUCUGCCUUUCCUUUUAUAAAGUAUAGCAAAGGUGGCCCACUCACUGUACAUUAUGAUUUUGUAUAAUUUUUCUUUAGUGUCUGUUGAUAUUAGCAGUCUUCUCACCUAUGGUGGAAAGAAACACACUUCCCAGCUACAUCCCAUGAUUAAUGGGUAGCUAAAGGAAUAAUUCUUGUUCAAGUGUCCAUAUUCUCUGUUCAUGUUCCAAUCUUCAGCACACAGACACUAGACUUUCUAAGCAAUGGCAAACAACCAUAUCUACUAAAAGAGCAUUUGUUGUAUUCAUGUUUCCCAUCCUGAAGCUAAACAAAGAUUGGAAACACAGCUUACAUAGCAUGAAGUAUAGCAUGUUAUUUAUAACAUGAAAGAGGAGCAAGAGAGCUGAAGACUUGCAGGACCCAGAAGAUGUCUUCCAAAGUGAAGAUCACUUGAAGUUUACAAAAAAACCUGCCUUUUAAAUAAAUCUGCUUAUAGAAAGCAAUUCACAGUUCAGAAUUAAGUUUGUGAGUCCAAGAGCAAUAAGUCAUGUCCAACACGAUUUAGCAGCAUCCAAAAAAAAAGUAUAUAAGGAAAGUGGAAAAAUUAUUCCAAGUCUCACCCUAAUCAGAGCAAAGUUCAUUCAGUAUGUGAUAGGCUUCUGUUGCUGCUUUGUAGUGCACAGGUAAAAUUCCAUGACCAAAUGAAGCCUAUGAACUGUACAAGUCUCCACUAGUCCUUAAAAUAGAGCGUAAGCAAACCCUAAGUAUCAUACGGUGUUUAAUUUCAUUCAGAGAGGGGGAAAUAAAAGGUAGGAUGAAUUGUACUGCUGAAAAGUUCCCUCUGUAAGCUCUCAUUUUCAGGCAUAAACAGAAACAUAUAAUUUCUAUUUAUUAUGCUGACUCAGGCAUUGUUCUAGGAAAUUUAAUUUAACUGCUGGGUAACUCCCAGUUAGUUGAGAAAGUUUAAUGCCAUGUUUGUUUAAAAAGGAAGAAUGCAAAGUUACACAUUUUCUGGGACAAAACAAUAGACCCAUCUUAGUUUGUUGCAAAAUUACGUUACAGUAACAUAAUAUAUUAUCUCUCAGUGAAAAAUAUCAUUCAAGACUAAAAAAAAUCUAAAUGCAAAAAGAAACAAAGUUUUCCAAGAAAUAAGGGAAAAGACACUCAAAAGAAAAGCAGCUAUGAAUUCUAGUUCUUGGUGGACUUUUUUUUAAUUUUCCCUCUUUUUAAUAAGAUAAUCAGAGAAAAAUCAAGAGUAGAACUGAACUACAUUUCUUCAGCUAGACCAUUAGUUAAUAUGGCUCUAGAAUGACAACAAUCUGGGGCAAAAGCACUAUUUCUAUGGUCCUUGCGAAAUCAGAUUUUAUGGACUGAACUCUAGUUUUGAUAGUCAGAAGCAUAUCAAUGUUAUUUAUAUUCUGUAAUAAUUUAAUGUUGUAUGUGUUGCUAUUUACAUUCUUUACAGUUUCUCAAGUAUUUUGAUUGUUAAUCAAUCAUUUUUAUCUAUGCUGGAUGCUCAUUAAAUGACUCAGUGGUCAAUGUCUGCAAAACAAGGAUUUUAAUUCAGUUUAUGUUUGAUCAUGGCAAAAAUCUUUUUUGUUCUUCAAGAAAUCAACACAAAAAUGACUAUGAUGACCUUUUGGUCUGUUCCAUACAGCAUCAUCUUGAUCUACAUUCACACUGGUGUUAAAGCAAUACCAAUAGUGUUUCCAUUAUUACUACCAAAGAG
This is a long non-coding RNA of Gallus gallus (chicken), 6257 nucleotides long. NCBI's taxonomy places the organism in Eukaryota, Metazoa, Chordata, Aves, Galliformes, Phasianidae. The record is from Ensembl.